GAUGAAGAACGUAGCGAAAUGCGAUAAGUAAUGUGGAUUGCAGAAUUCAGUGAAUCAUCGAAUCUUUGAACGCAACUUGCGCUCUCUGGUAUUCCGGAGAGCAUGCCUGUUUGAGUAUCAUGAAAUCUCAACCAUUAGGGUUUCUUAAUGGCUUGGAAUUGGGUGUUGCCAGUCGCCUGGCUCGCCUUAAAAGAGUUAGCGUGUUUUACUUGUCUAUCUGGCGUAAUAAGUUUCGCUGGUGUCGGCUUGAGAAGUACGCUUCUAAUCGUCUUCGGACAAUUCUUGAACUCUGGUCUCAAAUCAGGUAGGGCUACCCGCUGAACUUAAGCAUAUCAUAAGCGGAGGA
This 346-nucleotide unclassified non-coding RNA is filed under the name soil metagenome. RNAcentral describes it as "partial contains 5.8S ribosomal RNA, internal transcribed spacer 2, and large subunit ribosomal RNA". The stretch from base 1 to 120 matches the Rfam family "5.8S ribosomal RNA", at positions 35 to 154 of the family's 154-position model. The record is from RNAcentral.